CCUACGAGCGGCAGCAGUAGGGAAUUUUCGGCAAUGGGGGGAACCCUGACCGAGCAACGCCGCGUGAACGAAGAAGUUAUUCGUAACGUAAAGUUCUGUUAACAGGGAAGAAAGAGAAAUUUGACGGUACCUGAAGAAUAAGCUCCGGCUAACUACGUGACAGCAGCCGCGGUAAUACGUAGGGAGCGAGCGUUAUCCGGGAUUAUUGGGGGUAAAGGGGGCGGAGAUGGCAUAGUCAGACUUGUGUAAAAAUGCUGGGCUCAACCCAGUAGGGCAAAAGAUACUGCAAAGCUAGAGUAUGACAGAGGCAAGUGGAACUACAUGUGUAGCGGUAAAAUGCGUAAAUAUAUGUCAGAACACCAGUGGCGAAGGCGGCUUGCUGGGUCGAUACUGACAUUGAGGCACGAAAGCGUGGGGAGCAAACAGGAUUAGAUACCCGGGUAGUC
This 446-nucleotide ribosomal RNA is filed under the name uncultured bacterium. RNAcentral's name for it is "partial 16S ribosomal RNA". It matches the Rfam family "Bacterial small subunit ribosomal RNA", at positions 338 to 795 of the family's 1533-position model. The record is from RNAcentral.